Cebus imitator (Panamanian white-faced capuchin) is the source of this 1638-nucleotide RNA transcript. It is a transcript of the gene named alpha-enolase-like, with no coding region annotated. The transcript has a single exon. Lineage: Eukaryota; Metazoa; Chordata; Mammalia; Primates; Cebidae. The record is from RefSeq and is a predicted model, not a curated record.
AUGGGAGACCUCGCCGGCUUAACGCUCACCUCGGUGUCUGCAGCACCCUCUGCUUCUCUCCCAGGUGAUGAAACCCAGCAGCUAGAAAUUCACCAUGUCUAUUCUCAAGAUCCAUGCCAGGGAGAUCUUUGACUCUCGUGGGAAUCCCACUGUUGAGGUUGAUUUCUUCACUGCAAAACGUCUCUUCAGAGCUGCUGGUUAGCAAGACACUGAACAUCACAGAACAAGAGAAGAUUGACAAACUGAUGAUUGAGAUGGAUGGAACAGAAAAUAAAUAUAAUUUUGGUGCGAACGCCAUUCUGGGGGUGUCCCUCGUCAUCUGCAAAGUUGGUGCUAUUGAGAACGGGGUCCCCCAUACUGCUACAUUGCUGACUUGGCUGGCAACUCCGAAGUCAUUCUGCCAGUCCUGGUGUUCAAUGUCAUCAAUGGUGGUUCCCAUGCUGGCAACAAGCUGGCCAUGCAGGAGUUCAUGAUCCUCCCAGUGGGUGCCACAAACUUCAGGGAAGCCACGCAUAUUGGAGCAGAGGUUUACUACAUCCUGAAGAAUGUCAUCAAGGAAAAAUAUGGGAAAGAUGCCACGAAAAUGGGGGAUGAAGGCAGGUUUGCUCCCCAAAUCCUGGAGAAUAAAGAAGGCCUGGAGCUGCUGAAGACUGAUUAGGAAAGCUGGCUACACCGGUAAGGUGGUUAUUGGCAUGGACGUAGUGGCCUCCAUUUCUUCAGGUCUGGGAAGUAUGACCUCACCUUCAAGUCUCCCAGUGACCCCAGCAGUUACAUCUCACCUGGCCAGCUGGCUGACCUGUAGAAGUCCUUCAUUAAGGACUACCCAGUGGUGUCUAUCCAGGAUCCCUUUGACCAUGAUGACUGGGGAGCUUAGCAGAAGUUCACGGCCAGUGCAGGAAUCCAGGUAGUAGGGGAUGAUCUCACAGUGACCAACCCAAAGAGGAUUGUCAAGGCCACGAAUGAGAAGUCAUGCAACUGCCUCCUGCUCAAAGUGAACCAGAUUGGCUUCGUGACCAAGUCCCUGCAGGCGUGCAAACUGGCCCAGGCCUGUGGUUGGGGCAUCGUGGUGUCUCAUCAUUCUGGGGAGACUGAAGAUACCUUCAGCGCUGGCCUGGUGGUGGGGCUGUGCGCUGGGCAGAUCAAGACUGAUUCCCCUUGCUGAUUUGAGCACUUAGCCAAGUACAACCAGCUCCUCAGAAAUGAAGACGAGCUGGGCAGCAAGGCUAAGUUUGCCAGCAGGAACUUCAGAAACCCCCUGGCCAAGUAAGCUGUGGGCAGGCCAGCCUUUCAGUCACCUCUUGGCUAAUUAGACCCCUCCCCUCGUGUCAGCUCAGGCAGCUCGAGGCCCCCGGCCAACACUUGCAGGGGCCCUGCUAGUAGCUCCACUUGCCCACUGCUGUGGAGUUCACACUGCUUCCUUAGAACUUCUACAGCGGCCAAGCUCCCUGAAGCUGGGCAGUUCUAGCUUUGCAGUCGCGUAACUGGCCCAAAUCAUUGCUUUUCUCGCCUCACUUUUCACCAAGUGUCUGGAGCCAUGUGAGCCUCCAGUGUCACCUCUGGGGUGGCCACAGGCAAGAUCCCCAGUGGUUUUGUGCUCAAAAUAAAAAGCCUUAGUGACCCAUGGGGAAAAAAAAAAAU